Molecule: transfer-messenger RNA, 410 nt
Filed under: Holosporales bacterium
Lineage: Bacteria; Pseudomonadati; Pseudomonadota; Alphaproteobacteria; Holosporales
Rfam family: Alphaproteobacteria transfer-messenger RNA
About the family: Bacterial tmRNA, also known as 10Sa RNA or SsrA, is named for its dual tRNA and mRNA-like properties. Its role is to liberate the mRNA from a stalled ribosome.
Source: RNAcentral
GUCCCAACGCCCCGUUUCCAAUUGUGCUACAAUGAGCUGUCGGGGAAUCUCGACUAUGACGAUAAAGAUUGGCUAGAAUAGGUGACAUGGACCCGGGGGCAGUACCCGGCGCCUCCACGUGUGCGUAUCGGCGGAAGCCGGCAGCUAUGGGGGCGACACAGCUUCGACAUGCACAAUAAAGGGUCGGUGUUCGUCCGUUAUUGUUCCGUCGUUAUCGGGCAAAAAAGUAUAGAUGCCAAAAACAUUAGCAUCUCGGGUGUUGCGAAUCGGAACCGCCUUCGCAGGCGUCGCCGCAUAGCAGCAAACAGCAACCUUCCGAAGAAGGUGGCUGCUGCCUAAUUUGCCUAACGGCAAGUUAGUCAGGGAAAGACCCGCGGUUGAGGGCGACCGGGCAACAGAACGCCCUCGUA